UUUCAUACAGAUAAAACCAUAAGCAGCUUAGGAAAUCUUGAAAGAAACUGGUUUGGCAAGGAUCUAGUCCAGUGUUUCCAGGAGGAACAGUCACAUCAAUUGGAGCAACAAGGCCAAGUCGAGCAGGCAUUUCCCUACACAAUCUUCCGGCCUCAAGCAGUGGAACUAUGUGCAAGGAUAGAAAGUUGCUUCCGCGUCUGGAGAUAUGAGGAAGGCUCUAUGGAUAUGCAGGUUUGUGAAUAUUGCUGCAAGUUUGACUCAUCACAAUAUGAGAAAGUUUCCUGAAUUCAUAUUGAUUGUGGCCUAACAACUUUGUAAUAUCAUAUUGAUUAAUACCUGAGUUAUUGGGGAAAAAAAGAAGGGCAUAAGGAGAUCAAAUUUUCUUUCUAAUUUGGUUAACUAUCGUUAUCAGAUAAUUAUGUAACUAUUUCCAGGACUGAUGCUUAACUACUUCAUUGAGCACGUGGAUGUUCAAGAGCUUGUUGUACAGCUUUCCCUCGAUUAUAAGUGAAUAAGAGAUUCUAUCACCAGCCUUGAUUUACCAUCAUUACACGGGGAGUUUCUAAUCAAUCAUAUGAUAAAUCACUUAUACACGAAAGCAAUGUUGUAAGUAUUAUCGUCAUUUUCACUCGUUAACGGUUUUGAGUUUGUCAAACUAUUGAUUCUGGAGGAUGUAUGGUUGAGCUAGGACUGGUUUAUAUAGCCAAGUCAUUGUGUGAUCCCAACUUCAGCAGCUACGUGAUUUUCUUCUCUUUGCUUCUUUUUCUCUGAUUCCAUAUUAUUAAGUUUUCUGUAGAUAUGAAUAAAUCUAGAAUUUAAAAGGGUGGACCGAAAGCAAGGUCCAUAGUUAAAAUCCUAGCCACGGUGGAAAAAACUAUUCAGCUCAAUGCAAAUGAAUUACGAAAAAGUACACGUGUAAAAGCUCCAUCUAGAAAGUUAGCAGAUUUUAUAGUGACAACUGGAAGGGCAAAAAAGGCGAGCAGGAGUUUGUUACAAAUAGCUGUUAGUAGCAGAGCAGUAGGCAUCAUUGCUGUUAUUGAGUAUUUUCUCUAUUUUCCUCAUCUCCUUUUCUAAUCUUCUUCUUCUUCUUCUUAAACCUUCAGUGGUUUCCCCUAUCCUCGCUCUCACUUUUAUUGUAAUUCCUUGUUGAGUAUUUGGAAUACUAAUAUUACCAAGUUGUGUUGGAAUUUGCUUUAUCCACAACAUCAACAGGUAAACGAACAGAGUUACUUGACAUAAUUAAGAAGAUACAUGUCCUAGUUAGUUCCUAGUUACAACAGAUUUCUUGACCCUCCCCCCAAAGAAAAAGAGGAGGAGGACCAUAAUCCAAAUUUUUGUGGUGUAUUGGCAGCAUUUAUUGCAAGAGCUAGAUUCAAAAGUUGAUUUGCAUGGGAUGUCUUUAGUCUCUGCCAAAAUAUCAUCAUCACAGAGUGUAGGAUUUUAGUGAUUUGCAAAUCUAUUAACACUUAAAAAGAAGUGCUCAAUAUGGAACCACCCUUUUUUAUGAUUGCCCUUCUAGAUUAUUGUUGUAUGGGCAUAUAAAAAUCACCUGGUGCUGGUGCUGGUGGUUGUGAGUAAUGCUUAAUAUACUUCAUUGCAGAUCAUACUUUGCUCUGCUGUCAAGCUGUUCAGGGGGGAAAAAGAAGGAUGCGACUAUAGGCGAGCUGAACAUAUCAUACCUUGAUGUCUGUAAAUCAACUUAAAUACCACCAGUGGGGAUCAUGGAGCUAUCAAGCAUGUGUAGAGUGCUAGGAGACCAGGGGAUUCUAAAAGUUGGAAAGGUUAGAGAAGAAAAGUUAUGUAGAGUAUCCGAAGGUAGAUGAGGCAGACGUCACCUUUGCAUUGCAGGGAAUACUUGAUGGUCGACAUAGUAAAAGAUUGUGAUUCUCUACUAUUUAUUCUGUUGCUAAACAAACAGCAAAUUUAUGGUCCAGAAUAGAAGGUAUCAAACCAGGUCAAAGUGGCUAUAAUUUAUGGAGGAAUGGAAGAGGAACAUCUGGGUUCCAUUGAAUGCUGGAAUUUCCUUGUGGCUCCCUUAUCAUACUUUUAGUUCUCAAAUAUGUUACUGAAGUUGAAUGAAAAGAAGAGUUGUGGAUAUACUCGGCAUAGCAACUAAGGAAUUUUUUUUACUAUGUGUGCAGCAUGUCAAGUCAUACUUGUGUUGCUUGAUUGACAAGUGGACUGAUGUAGGCUCCACUUUCCAAGCAAUCAAAGACCCAUAAUCCCUUCUUCUCAAUUUGCAGUUCACUAUUUGUUCUCCAUUCUUUUUUGCAACAUCUCUUCUUUAUUUCAUCUCAGCUAUUUUUUUUAGUCCUAUCAAAAAGAUGGAUCAAUAUCACUAUUAUUUAUUUCUCUACCCUUAUUUAUUCAUAUACUCAUCUGUGUUGUUACAAUUUAUUUGAUUGGCUCUUUCUUUUGUCAUUAAUCAUUGUAUCCCUCGACCAAAUUAAUAAGAAAAAAAAAUUAAUCAUUGUAUGUGGAAAAACAAAUUAAAAUCUGUGAAAGUUUUCAUUUCACAUCUUAAAAAAAAAAAAAAAAAGAAGAUAAAUCUUGAAUAAGAAAACAAAAUUUAUAUUUGCAGUAACGAACAGUAACGAGAAAACUAACAAAUAUGAAAAAAAAAAAUUGCUCGAUAAA
This is a long non-coding RNA of Lycium barbarum (goji berry), 2637 nucleotides long. RefSeq lists it as uncharacterized. The transcript has 7 exons. NCBI's taxonomy places the organism in Eukaryota, Viridiplantae, Streptophyta, Magnoliopsida, Solanales, Solanaceae. The record is from RefSeq and is a predicted model, not a curated record.